UAAUGUAAAUUGUUAGUCCAGAAGCAAAUAUCAAUGUCCUGAUUCUCAUACUCUAAAAGAAAAUUGCAGUUUAAAGAAUUCUAAUUGUGUUUUAUUCAGAAUGUUUUUCUCUUCAAAAAAAAAAAAAAAAAAAGCCAGCUGCAGUAAAAGAAUUGUUUGUUAGUAAUUUACCAUACUGUGUUUAUCUGUUCAGAAAUCAGAAAUGGACAAACAGGCCUUAAUCCCUAUUGCCAAGAAGCGUCUAUCAUCAUACACUGAGUGUUAUAAAUGGUCAUCAUCUCCUGCAGAUGCUUGUGGUCUGCCGUCUCCCAUCAGCACUAACAGGCAAAUCCAAAAGAACUGCCCUCCAUCACCAUUACCACUUAUUUCAAAACAGUCACCACAGACUUCUUUUCCUUAUAAAAUAAUGCCUAUUCAACACACCCUGUCUGUGCAAAGUGCAUCAAGUAUUGUCAAAAAGAAAAAAGAAACAGUUUCUAAAACCACUAACAGAUGUGAGGCUUUGAGCCAAAGGCAUAUGAUCUAUGAAG
RNAcentral lists this small RNA (530 nucleotides) under Pan troglodytes (chimpanzee). RNAcentral's name for it is "processed transcript". Lineage: Eukaryota; Metazoa; Chordata; Mammalia; Primates; Hominidae. The record is from RNAcentral.